GACGAACGCUGGCGGCGUGCCUAAUACAUGCAAGUCGAACGCUUCUUUCCUCCCAAGUGCUUGCACUCAAUUGGAAAGAGGAGUGGCGGACGGGUGAGUAACACGUGGGUAACCUACCCAUCAGAGGGGGAUAACACUUGGAAACAGGUGCUAAUACCGCAUAACAGUUUAUGCCGCAUGGCAUAAGAGUGAAAGGCGCUUUCGGGUGUCGCUGAUGGAUGGACCCGCGGUGCAUUAGCUAGUUGGUGAGGUAACGGCUCACCAAGGCCACGAUGCAUAGCCGACCUGAGAGGGUGAUCGGCCACACUGGGACUGAGACACGGCCCAGACUCCUACGGGAGGCAGCAGUAGGGAAUCUUCGGCAAUGGACGAAAGUCUGACCGAGCAACGCUGCGUGAGUGAAGAAGGUUUUCGGAUCGUAAAACUCUGUUGUUAGAGAAGAACAAGGACGUUAGUAACUGAACGUCCCCUGACGGUAUCUAACCAGAAAGCCACGGCUAACUACGUGCCAGCAGCCGCGGUAAUACGUAGGUGGCAAGCGUUGUCCGGAUUUAUUGGGCGUAAAGCGAGCGCAGGCGGUUUCUUAAGUCUGAUGUGAAAGCCCCCGGCUCAACCGGGGAGGGUCAUUGGAAACUGGGAGACUUGAGUGCAGAAGAGGAGAGUGGAAUUCCAUGUGUAGCGGUGAAAUGCGUAGAUAUAUGGAGGAACACCAGUGGCGAAGGCGGCUCUCUGGUCU
This 736-nucleotide ribosomal RNA is filed under the name uncultured Enterococcus sp. RNAcentral's name for it is "bacterial SSU rRNA". It matches the Rfam family "Bacterial small subunit ribosomal RNA", at positions 28 to 735 of the family's 1533-position model. Lineage: Bacteria; Bacillati; Bacillota; Bacilli; Lactobacillales; Enterococcaceae. The record is from RNAcentral.